This is a long non-coding RNA of Apis dorsata (giant honeybee), 259 nucleotides long. RefSeq lists it as uncharacterized. The record is from RefSeq and is a predicted model, not a curated record. The transcript has 2 exons. NCBI's taxonomy places the organism in Eukaryota, Metazoa, Arthropoda, Insecta, Hymenoptera, Apidae.
UUUUAAUUCUUGGAAAGUAUCGAAUCGUUCGGAAAUAAUUUCGUUUCUUCACACGAGUGUCGCUAGUCGAACGUUUAUCCAGCCAACUUCAUUCUAAACCAUGUUGCUCGGAAAGUAAUUUCGUUUCUUCACACGAGUGUCGCUAGUCGAACGUUUAUCCAGCCAACUUCGUUCUAAACCAUGUUGCUCGGAAAGUAAUUUCGUUUCUUCACACGAGUGUCGCUAGUCGAACGUUUAUCCAGCCAACUUCGUUCUAAAC